CCUACGGGAGGCUGCAGUGAGGAAUAUUGGUCAAUGGUCGGGAGACUGAACCAGCCAAGCCGCGUGAGGGAUGAAGGUACAGAGUAUCGUAAACCUCUUUUGUCAGGGAACAAAGGCGGGGACGUGUCCCCGGAUGAGUGUACCUGAAGAAAAUGCAUCGGCUACCACCGUGCCAGCAGCCGCGGUAAUACGGGGGAUGCGAGUGUUAUCCGGUUUUAUUGGGUUAAAGGGGUGCGCAGGGGGUAUGUAAAGUCAGUGGUCAAAGCCCGGGGUUCAACCCCGGCCCGCCGUUGAAACUGGGAGUCUCGAGUUGGAGAGAAGUAUGCGGAAUGCGCGGUGGAGCGGUGAAAUGCAUAGAUAUCGCGCAGAACACCGAUUGCGAAGGCAGCAUGCCGGCUCCACACUGACGCUGAGGCACGAAAGCGUGGGGAGCGAACAGGAUUAGAUACCCCAGUAGUC
Molecule: ribosomal RNA, 459 nt
Filed under: uncultured bacterium
Lineage: Bacteria
Description: partial 16S ribosomal RNA
Rfam family: Bacterial small subunit ribosomal RNA
Source: RNAcentral